CCUACGGGAGGCAGCAGUGAGGAAUAUUGGACAAUGGGCGCAAGCCUGAUCCAGCCAUGCCGCGUGCAGGAAGAAGCAUCUAUGGUGUGUAAACUGCUUUUGUACAGGAAGAAACACUCCCUCGUGAGGGAGCUUGACGGUACUGUAAGAAUAAGGACCGGCUAACUCCGUGCCAGCAGCCGCGGUAAUACGGAGGGUCCGAGCGUUAUCCGGAAUCAUUGGGUUUAAAGGGUCCGUAGGCGGUUUAAUAAGUCAGUGGUGAAAUCUGGUCGCUCAACGAUCAAACGGCCAUUGAUACUGUUAGACUUGAAUUAUAAGGAAGUAACUAGAAUAUGUAGUGUAGCGGUGAAAUGCUUAGAUAUUACAUGGAAUACCAAUUGCGAAGGCAGGUUACUACUUAUGGAUUGACGCUGAUGGACGAAAGCGUGGGGAGCGAACAGGAUUAGAUACCCUGGUAGUCCACGCCGUAAACGAUGGAUACUAGCUGUUCGGAGCAAUCUGAGUGGCUAAGCGAAAGUGAUAAGUAUCCCACCUGGGGAGUACGUUCGCAAGAAUGAAACUAGUAAGAAUUGACGG
This 576-nucleotide ribosomal RNA is filed under the name uncultured bacterium. RNAcentral's name for it is "bacterial SSU rRNA". It matches the Rfam family "Bacterial small subunit ribosomal RNA", at positions 338 to 916 of the family's 1533-position model. The record is from RNAcentral.